UACGGGGGGGGCAAGCGUUGUUCGGAAUUACUGGGCGUAAAGGGCUCGUAGGCGGCCAACUAAGUCGGACGUGAAAUCCCCAGGCUCAACCUGGGAACUGCGUCCGAUACUGGAUGGCUUGAAUCCGGGAGAGGGAUGCAGAAUUCCAGGUGUAGCGGUGAAAUGCGUAGAUAUCUGGAGGAAUACCGGUGGCGAAGGCGGCAUCCUGGACCGGCAUUGACGCUGAGGAGCGAAAGCUAGGGGAGCGAACGGG
RNAcentral lists this ribosomal RNA (253 nucleotides) under uncultured bacterium. RNAcentral's name for it is "partial 16S ribosomal RNA". It matches the Rfam family "Bacterial small subunit ribosomal RNA", at positions 524 to 776 of the family's 1533-position model. The record is from RNAcentral.